GACGAACGCUGGCGGCGUGCCUAAUACAUGCAAGUAGAACGCUGAAGAGAGGAGCUUGCUCUUCUUGGAUGAGUUGCGAACGGGUGAGUAACGCGUAGGUAACCUGCCUUGUAGCGGGGGAUAACUAUUGGAAACGAUAGCUAAUACCGCAUAACAAUGGGUGACACAUGUCAUUUAUUUGAAAGGGGCAAUUGCUCCACUACAAGAUGGACCUGCGUUGUAUUAGCUAGUAGGUGAGGUAACGGCUCACCUAGGCGACGAUACAUAGCCGACCUGAGAGGGUGAUCGGCCACACUGGGACUGAGACACGGCCCAGACUCCUACGGGAGGCAGCAGUAGGGAAUCUUCGGCAAUGGGGGCAACCCUGACCGAGCAACGCCGCGUGAGUGAAGAAGGUUUUCGGAUCGUAAAGCUCUGUUGUAAGUCAAGAACGAGUGUGAGAGUGGAAAGUUCACACUGUGACGGUAGCUUACCAGAAAGGGACGGCUAACUACGUGCCAGCAGCCGCGGUAAUACGUAGGUCCCGAGCGUUGUCCGGAUUUAUUGGGCGUAAAGCGAGCGCAGGCGGUUUGAUAAGUCUGAAGUUAAAGGCUGUGGCUCAACCAUAGUUCGCUUUGGAAACUGUCAAACUUGAGUGCAGAAGGGGAGAGUGGAAUUCCAUGUGUAGCGGUGAAAUGCGUAGAUAUAUGGAGGGGCACCGGUGGCGAAAGCGGCUCUCUGGUCUGUAACUGACGCUGAGGCUCGAAAGCGUGGGGAGCGAACAGG
RNAcentral lists this ribosomal RNA (765 nucleotides) under uncultured Streptococcus sp. RNAcentral's name for it is "bacterial SSU rRNA". It matches the Rfam family "Bacterial small subunit ribosomal RNA", at positions 28 to 776 of the family's 1533-position model. The record is from RNAcentral. Lineage: Bacteria; Bacillati; Bacillota; Bacilli; Lactobacillales; Streptococcaceae.